This is a non-coding RNA of Dipodomys ordii (Ord's kangaroo rat), 46 nucleotides long. The record is from Rfam. Lineage: Eukaryota; Metazoa; Chordata; Mammalia; Rodentia; Heteromyidae.
CCAAAGGCUCUUUUCAGAGCCACCCACUGCGCCCUCGGAAGGAGCU